Molecule: unclassified non-coding RNA, 216 nt
Filed under: Hevea brasiliensis (rubber tree)
Lineage: Eukaryota; Viridiplantae; Streptophyta; Magnoliopsida; Malpighiales; Euphorbiaceae
Source: RNAcentral
UAGGUGUCAAGUGCCACAGCUACGUUUGCCAUGACAUUUUCUGCAUCCAUGUCUGUCAUAGAGUAUUAUCUGUUGAAACGUUUUCCCGUUCCUUAUGCACUAUACUUUGCUGCUGUCACAACUGUCGCCGCCUUGGUAGGGCAGCAUGUGGUAAGAAAGCUUAUCAGUAUAUUCGGGAGAGCGUCUAUAAUCAUCUUCAUUCUGUCAUUCACAAUA